GGGAGGGGAAAUCCUCUUGCCUAUGGAAUGAUUUUGUGUUUAUUCUUUCCUGCCUCCGACCAGCAAGAUUCCCUGGGUCCUGGGCGUAUAAACACCUCCUGAACAGCCACAGCCGGCCUCCCAAGAUGAUUCCAGGAAACACAACGCUGACUCUUCAAGAAAAGAAAUUCCUUGCCAAGGGCCACAUCUGUGGCAAUGCCAACAAUGCCAGAUCCGAGUCCUCGUUGACCUCUACAGGCAUUCCAGCAGCCCCAGGGAGCAAGGGCUUCAGCAGGAUGGUUUGCUGGGGGAGAAUGGAGACAAGCAACACCAACAGGCAUGUGGGUAGACAGAUGGAUAUGGGGGUGAACGUGGAUGUGUGCGUGGUGUAGAUAUGGGCAUG
Molecule: long non-coding RNA, 382 nt
Filed under: Sus scrofa (pig)
Lineage: Eukaryota; Metazoa; Chordata; Mammalia; Artiodactyla; Suidae
Description: lncRNA (ENSSSCG00040051885.1, ENSSSCG00070018753.1)
Source: RNAcentral